Transfer RNA from Ovis aries (sheep), 72 nucleotides. It matches the Rfam family "tRNA". From Rfam's summary of the family: Transfer RNA (tRNA) molecules are approximately 80 nucleotides in length. Their secondary structure includes four short double-helical elements and three loops (D, anti-codon, and T loops). Further hydrogen bonds mediate the characteristic L-shaped molecular structure. tRNAs have two regions of fundamental functional importance: the anti-codon, which is responsible for specific mRNA codon recognition, and the 3' end, to which the tRNAs corresponding amino acid is attached (by aminoacyl-tRNA synthetases). tRNAs cope with the degeneracy of the genetic code in two manners: having more than one tRNA (with a specific anti-codon) for a particular amino acid; and 'wobble' base-pairing, i.e. permitting non-standard base-pairing at the 3rd anti-codon position. The record is from Rfam. NCBI's taxonomy places the organism in Eukaryota, Metazoa, Chordata, Mammalia, Artiodactyla, Bovidae.
UCCCUGGUGGCUCAGUGGUAGAGAAUCUGCCUGCCAAUGCAGGAGAGACAGGUUCAAUCCCUGGUCCAGGAA